Trichosporon asahii var. asahii CBS 8904 is the source of this 110-nucleotide transfer RNA. It matches the Rfam family "tRNA". Rfam says of the family: Transfer RNA (tRNA) molecules are approximately 80 nucleotides in length. Their secondary structure includes four short double-helical elements and three loops (D, anti-codon, and T loops). Lineage: Eukaryota; Fungi; Basidiomycota; Tremellomycetes; Trichosporonales; Trichosporonaceae. The record is from Rfam.
CUCACCAUAGCUCAGUUGGUAGAGCGUCGGACUGUAACUGAUACAAUCUCAAAGCCGCCUGAUCAGGCGACCACAUCCGCAGGUCCUGUGUUCGACUCACAGUGGUGAGA